ACAAGCGGUGGAGUAUGUGGUUUAAUUCGAUGCAACGCGAAGAACCUUACCUGGUCUUGACAUCCCGGAGACCCUUAGGAAACUAGGGGGUGCUUCCAUCUGGAAGAAUCUGGAGACAGGUGCUGCAUGGCUGUCGUCAGCUCGUGUCGUGAGAUGUUGGGUUAAGUCCCGCAACGAGCGCAACCCUUGCCUUUAGUUGCCAGCAGUUCGGCUGGGCACUCUAAAGGGACUGCCGGUGUUAAACCGGAGGAAGGUGGGGAUGACGUCAAGUCAGCAUGGCCUUUAUAUCCUGGGCUACACACACGCUACAAUGGGAAGGGACAAUAGGUUGCGAAGCCGCGAGGCGGAGCCAAUCCAGCAAAACUUCCCUCAGUUCAGAUUGCAGGCUGCAACUCGCCUGCAUGAAGUUGGAGUUGCUAGUAAACGCAGGUCAGCCAUACUGCGUUGAAUACGUUCCCGGGGCUU
This 465-nucleotide ribosomal RNA is filed under the name uncultured Desulfobulbus sp. Its description in RNAcentral is "bacterial SSU rRNA". It matches the Rfam family "Bacterial small subunit ribosomal RNA", at positions 925 to 1382 of the family's 1533-position model. Lineage: Bacteria; Pseudomonadati; Thermodesulfobacteriota; Desulfobulbia; Desulfobulbales; Desulfobulbaceae. The record is from RNAcentral.